CCUGGUUGAUCCUGCCAGUAGUCAUAUGCUUGUCUCAAAGAUUAAGCCAUGCAUGUCUAUUUAUGAACUAAUUCAGGCUGUGAAACUGCAAAUGGCUCAUUAAAUCAAUUAUAGCAUUUUUUAUGGCACCAUACUACUCAGAUAACCAUAGUAAUUCUAGACAUAAUAUGUGCACCAAGUCCUGACUCUUUGGAAGGGAUGAUUUUUCUAGAUAAAAGGUCAACGUGGGCUUUCCCACUUCUCCAGUGAAUCACGAUAACUUGACAAAUCGAACAGCCCUUGUGUUGGUGAUGCUUCAUUCAAAUUUCUACCCUAUCAACUUUCGAUGGUAGGAUAGAGGCCUACAUGGUGGUGAUAGGUGAUGGAGAAUUAGGUUCGAUUUCGAAGAGGGAGAUUGAGAAACAACUACCACAUCCAACGAAGGCAACAGGUGGGCAAAUUACCCAAUCUUGACAUGGGGAGGUAGUGACAAUAAAUAACAAUAAUAGGCUCAUCAAUUCUGGUAAUUGGAAUGAGUACAAUCUAAAUCUGUUAAUGAGGAUCCAUUGGAGGGAAAGUUAGGUGCCAGCAACCGUGGUAAUUCCAGCUCCAAUAGCAUAUAUUUAAGUUCUUGCAGUUAAAAAUCUCAUAGUUGGAUCUUGGGUCAUAAAGUUCAGUCCACCUACUCAGUUUCCACUUGCCCUUCUGUCCUUUUUGUUGGCGGUGUGCUCCUAGCCUUAAUUGGUUGGGUUAUGGAUUUGGCACUGUUACAUUGAAAAAAUUAGAGUGCUCAAAGCAAUCUUAUGCUUUGAAUACAUUAGCAUGGAAUAACGUGAAAGGAGUCUGGUCCUAUUUUGUUGGACUUUGGGACCAGAGUACUAAUUAAUAGGGACAUUCGUAUUUCAUUAUUAGAGGUGAAAUUCUUCUAUUUAUGAAAGACAUACCACUAUGAAAUAAUUUUCCAAGGAUGUCUUCAUUAAUGAAGAACGAAAGUUGGGGGCUCAAAGAGCAUAAGAUACCAUCCUAGUCUCAACCAUAAACGAUGCCGACCAGGUAUCGACAGAUGUUGCUCUAAGGACUCUGCCAGCACCUUUUGAGAAAUUAGAGUGUUUGGGUUUUGGGGGUAGUAUGGUCAGAAGGUUGAAACUUAAAGGAAUUAAAGGAAAGGCACCACCAGGAGUGGAGCCUACGACUUAAUUUGACUAAACAUGGGGAAACUUACUAGGUCCAGACAUAGUAAGGAUUGAUAGAUUGAGAGCUCUCAAUUCUAAGAUUGAGAGCUCUUUCUUGAUUCUAUGGGUGGUGGUGCAUGGCCGUUCUUAGUUGGUGGAGAAAUUUGUCUGGUUAAUUCUGAUAACUAAUGAUACCUCAUCCUGCUAAUGAGCUACGUGGAGGUCCCCCUUCGCAACCAACUUCUUAGAGGGACUAUGACCAUUUAGGCCAUGGAAUUUUGAGUUAAGUAAUAGAUAGGUGAUGCCCUUAUAUGUUCUAGGCCACAUGAGUGCUACACUGAUGUAGCCAAUGAGUUUUUCCUCCUAGUUCAACAGGGUCAGGAAUUCUUCUCAAAUUGCAUCAUGAUGGGGAUAGACCAUUACACUUAUUGGUCUUCAACAAGGAAUUCCUAGUAAGCGUGUGUCAUCAACUCAUGUUAACUACGUCCCUACUCUUUGUACACACCUCCCAUCACUCCUACCAAUUGAAUGAUCCAGUGAAGUGUUCAGAUUGAGUCGACAAUGGUGGUUCGCCACCAUCGACAUCGUGAGAAGUUCAUUGAACCUUAUCAUUUAGAGGAAGGAGAAGUCAUAACAAUGUUACUAUAGGUGAACCUGCAGCAU
This 1814-nucleotide ribosomal RNA is filed under the name Pinus taeda (loblolly pine). RNAcentral's name for it is "SSU rRNA". It matches the Rfam family "Eukaryotic small subunit ribosomal RNA". The record is from RNAcentral. Lineage: Eukaryota; Viridiplantae; Streptophyta; Pinopsida; Pinales; Pinaceae.